GGCGGACGGGUGAGUAAUGCCUGGGAAAUUGCCCUGAUGUGGGGGAUAACCAUUGGAAACGAUGGCUAAUACCGCAUGAUGCCUACGGGCCAAAGAGGGGGACCUUCGGGCCUCUCGCGUCAGGAUAUGCCCAGGUGGGAUUAGCUAGUUGGUGAGGUAAGGGCUCACCAAGGCGACGAUCCCUAGCUGGUCUGAGAGGAUGAUCAGCCACACUGGAACUGAGACACGGUCCAGACUCCUACGGGAGGCAGCAGUGGGGAAUAUUGCACAAUGGGCGCAAGCCUGAUGCAGCCAUGCCGCGUGUGUGAAGAAGGCCUUCGGGUUGUAAAGCACUUUCAGUUGUGAGGAAGG
Molecule: ribosomal RNA, 351 nt
Filed under: Vibrio vulnificus
Lineage: Bacteria; Pseudomonadati; Pseudomonadota; Gammaproteobacteria; Vibrionales; Vibrionaceae
Description: bacterial SSU rRNA
Rfam family: Bacterial small subunit ribosomal RNA
Source: RNAcentral